CCUANGGGUGGCUGCAGUGGGGAAUUUUGGACAAUGGGGGCAACCCUGAUCCAGCCAUGCCGCGUGCGGGAAGAAGGCCUUCGGGUUGUAAACCGCUUUUGUCCGGGAAGAAAAGGCACCCCCUAAUACGGGGUGUUCUUGACGGUACUGGAAGAAUAAGCACCGGCUAACUACGUGCCAGCAGCCGCGGUAAUACGUAGGGUGCGAGCGUUAAUCGGAAUUACUGGGCGUAAAGCGUGCGCAGGCGGUUCGUCAAGUCUGAUGUGAAAGCCCCGGGCUCAACCUGGGAAUGGCAUUGGAAACUAGCGGGCUUGAGUGUGGCAGAGGGGGGUGGAAUUCCACGUGUAGCAGUGAAAUGCGUAGAGAUGUGGAGGAACACCGAUGGCGAAGGCAGCCCCCUGGGCUAACACUGACGCUCAGGCACGAAAGCGUGGGGAGCAAACAGGAUUAGAUACCCUANUANUC
RNAcentral lists this ribosomal RNA (465 nucleotides) under uncultured bacterium. Its description in RNAcentral is "bacterial SSU rRNA". It matches the Rfam family "Bacterial small subunit ribosomal RNA", at positions 338 to 795 of the family's 1533-position model. The record is from RNAcentral.